UCACCGAUGGAUGAAUGUCAC
This 21-nucleotide microRNA is filed under the name Sarcophilus harrisii (Tasmanian devil). Its description in RNAcentral is "Sha-Mir-181-P2c_3p* (star (passenger))". Lineage: Eukaryota; Metazoa; Chordata; Mammalia; Dasyuromorphia; Dasyuridae. The record is from RNAcentral. RNAcentral also lists the same sequence under 2 other names.